UUUCCGUAGGUGAACCUUGCGGAAGGAUCAUU
Molecule: ribosomal RNA, 32 nt
Filed under: Agaricostilbomycetes sp. TY-212
Lineage: Eukaryota; Fungi; Basidiomycota; Agaricostilbomycetes
Also listed under: 1 other name
Description: partial 18S ribosomal RNA
Source: RNAcentral